This is a non-coding RNA of Cyprinus carpio carpio, 303 nucleotides long. Ensembl annotates it as small Cajal body-specific RNA 7. Its record names the gene SCARNA7. The record is from Ensembl. NCBI's taxonomy places the organism in Eukaryota, Metazoa, Chordata, Actinopteri, Cypriniformes, Cyprinidae.
UGGAUAUGAUGACAGCUGAGGUGUGGUGCUGGUGUGAGUGACAGCUGAAUAAUGUUUAGAAUAAUGUUUAAUGUGUAUUUUAGCUCUGUAUAGUGUGUGUGUGUGUGUGUGUGGCGCUGAUGGGUGGGGGUGUCAGAGAUCAGUGCUGAUACAGGAGUGCAUCUGAGGCGGCCGCUCACACCGAGGCUUCUCUGCGGUCUGGCUGAUGAUUAGAGCCUCAGUAUCAUCCUCACCCUCGGCCACCGGCGCCACAGUCUCAGCAGGGCACGUGAUCCGUCACACACGCCCUGCGAUCUGAUCCGA